Molecule: non-coding RNA, 24 nt
Filed under: Arabidopsis thaliana (thale cress)
Lineage: Eukaryota; Viridiplantae; Streptophyta; Magnoliopsida; Brassicales; Brassicaceae
Source: RNAcentral
ACCCGACCUCGAAACGCCUCGGGC